Molecule: long non-coding RNA, 729 nt
Filed under: Citrus x clementina
Lineage: Eukaryota; Viridiplantae; Streptophyta; Magnoliopsida; Sapindales; Rutaceae
Description: Citrus clementina (C. clementina) long non-coding RNA (CCLE_LNC005118)
Source: RNAcentral
AAAAACGGGUGGGCUAUAGCCUUGGUGGGGGGCGCAGGCGAAGUUCGUCCGCCGGACUUGGAAUGGGGCGAGACUUUGCGAGGGGCCUCGGGACGCCAAAACUAAGCCGCGGGCAAAGCUGCGCCCAAAAAUAAGCGCCCGAAGGUCGUGGUGCCAAAACCCCCCAGCGGAAAAAUGGCCAAAAAACGGGUGGGCUAUAGCCUUGGUGGGGGGCGCGGGCGAAGUUCGUCCGCCGGACUCGGAAUGGGGCGAGCCUUUGCGAGGGGCCUCGGGGUGCCAAAAAUAAGCCGCGGCCAAGGCCGCGCCCAAAAAUAAGCGCCCGAAGUUCGUGGUGCCAAAACCCCCCAGCAGAAAAAUGGCCAAAAAACGGGUGGGCUAUAGCCUUGGUGGGGGGCGCGGGCGAAGUUUUUCCGCCGGACUCGGAAUAGGGCGAGACUUUGCGAGGGGCCUCAUGGUGCCAAAAAUAAGCCGCGGGCAAAGCCGCGCCCAAAAAUAAUUGCCCAAAGGUCGUGGUGCCAAAACCCCCCAGCGGAAAAAUGGCCAAAAAACGGGUGGGCUAUAGCCUUGGUGGGGGGCGCGGGCGAAGUUCGUCCGCCGGACUCGGAAUGGGGCGAGACUUUGCGCGGGGCCUCAGGGUGCCAAAAAUAAGCCGCGGGCAAAGCCGCGCCCAAAAAUAAGCGCCCGAAGGUCGUGGUGCCAAAACCCCCCAGCGGAUAAAUGGCCAAAAAA